This 272-nucleotide ribosomal RNA is filed under the name Salmonella enterica subsp. enterica serovar Paratyphi B var. L(+) tartrate +. RNAcentral's name for it is "partial 16S ribosomal RNA". It matches the Rfam family "Bacterial small subunit ribosomal RNA", at positions 869 to 1141 of the family's 1533-position model. Lineage: Bacteria; Pseudomonadati; Pseudomonadota; Gammaproteobacteria; Enterobacterales; Enterobacteriaceae. The record is from RNAcentral.
CCGCCUGGGGAGUACGGCCGCAAGGUUAAAACUCAAAUGAAUUGACGGGGGCCCGCACAAGCGGUGGAGCAUGUGGUUUAAUUCGAUGCAACGCGAAGAACCUUACCUGGUCUUGACAUCCACAGAAGUUUUCAGAGAUGAGAAUGUGCCUUCGGGAACUGUGAGACAGGUGCUGCAUGGCUGUCGUCAGCUCGUGUUGUGAAAUGUUGGGUUAAGUCCCGCAACGAGCGCAACCCUUAUCCUUUGUUGCCAGCGGUUAGGCCGGGAACUCA